CCUUCGGGGUGGAUUAGUGGCGAACGGGUGAGUAACACGUGGGCAAUCUGCCCUUCACUCUGGGACAAGCCCUGGAAACGGGGUCUAAUACCGGAUAACACUCUGUCCCGCAUGGGACGGGGUUAAAAGCUCCGGCGGUGAAGGAUGAGCCCGCGGCCUAUCAGCUUGUUGGUGGGGUAAUGGCCUACCAAGGCGACGACGGGUAGCCGGCCUGAGAGGGCGACCGGCCACACUGGGACUGAGACACGGCCCAGACUCCUACGGGAGGCAGCAGUGGGGAAUAUUGCACAAUGGGCGAAAGCCUGAUGCAGCGACGCCGCGUGAGGGAUGACGGCCUUCGGGUUGUAAACCUCUUUCAGCAGGGAAGAAGCGAAAGUGACGGUACCUGCAGAAGAAGCGCCGGCUAACUACGUGCCAGCAGCCGCGGUAAUACGUAGGGCGCAAGCGUUGUCCGGAAUUAUUGGGCGUAAAGAGCUCGUAGGCGGCUUGUCACGUCGGAUGUGAAAGCCCGGGGCUUAACCCCGGGUCUGCAUUCGAUACGGGCUAGCUAGAGUGUGGUAGGGGAGAUCGGAAUUCCUGGUGUAGCGGUGAAAUGCGCAGAUAUCAGGAGGAACACCGGUGGCGAAGGCGGAUCUCUGGGCCAUUACUGACGCUGAGGAGCGAAAGCGUGGGGAGCGAACAGGAUUAGAUACCCUGGUAGUCCACGCCGUAAACGUUGGGAACUAGGUGUUGGCGACAUU
RNAcentral lists this ribosomal RNA (740 nucleotides) under Streptomyces pratensis. Its description in RNAcentral is "bacterial SSU rRNA". It matches the Rfam family "Bacterial small subunit ribosomal RNA", at positions 77 to 833 of the family's 1533-position model. Lineage: Bacteria; Bacillati; Actinomycetota; Actinomycetes; Kitasatosporales; Streptomycetaceae. The record is from RNAcentral.